RNAcentral lists this ribosomal RNA (160 nucleotides) under uncultured bacterium. RNAcentral describes it as "partial 16S ribosomal RNA". It matches the Rfam family "Bacterial small subunit ribosomal RNA", at positions 355 to 507 of the family's 1533-position model. The record is from RNAcentral.
UGGGGAAUCUUGCGCAAUGCGCGAAAGCGUGACGCAGCAACGCCGCGUGGGGGAAGAAGGCCUUCGGGUUGUAAACCCCUUUCAGGAGGGACGAAGCCUGGUCGGUGAAUAGCCGGUCCAGGUGACGGUACCUCCACAAGAAGCCCCGGCCAACGUCGUG